RNAcentral lists this ribosomal RNA (253 nucleotides) under uncultured bacterium. RNAcentral's name for it is "partial 16S ribosomal RNA". It matches the Rfam family "Bacterial small subunit ribosomal RNA", at positions 524 to 776 of the family's 1533-position model. The record is from RNAcentral.
UACAGAGGGUGCGAGCGUUAAUCGGAAUUACUGGGCGUAAAGCGUGCGUAGACGGUUAUUUAAGUCGGAUGUGAAAGCCCCGGGCUCAACCUGGGAAUUGCAUUCGAGACUGAAUAGCUAGGGUGCGGUAGAGGGAAGCGGAAUUUCCGGUGUAGCGGUGAAAUGCGUAGAUAUCGGAAGGAACAUCAGUGGCGAAAGCGGCUUCCUGGACCAAUACUGACGCUCAGGUGCGAAAGCGUGGGGAGCAAACAGG